Molecule: ribosomal RNA, 1798 nt
Filed under: Escherichia coli
Lineage: Bacteria; Pseudomonadati; Pseudomonadota; Gammaproteobacteria; Enterobacterales; Enterobacteriaceae
Description: partial 23S ribosomal RNA
Rfam family: Bacterial large subunit ribosomal RNA
Source: RNAcentral
GUGGUAUCCUGUCUGAAUAUGGGGGGACCAUCCUCCAAGGCUAAAUACUCCUGACUGACCGAUAGUGAACCAGUACCGUGAGGGAAAGGCGAAAAGAACCCCGGCGAGGGGAGUGAAAAAGAACCUGAAACCGUGUACGUACAAGCAGUGGGAGCACAGAGCAAUCUGUGUGACUGCGUACCUUUUGUAUAAUGGGUCAGCGACUUAUAUUCUGUAGCAAGGUUAACCGAAUAGGGGAGCCGAAGGGAAACCGAGUCUUAACUGGGCGUUAAGUUGCAGGGUAUAGACCCGAAACCCGGUGAUCUAGCCAUGGGCAGGUUGAAGGUUGGGUAACACUAACUGGAGGACCGAACCGACUAAUGUUGAAAAAUUAGCGGAUGACUUGUGGCUGGGGGUGAAAGGCCAAUCAAACCGGGAGAUAGCUGGUUCUCCCCGAAAGCUAUUUAGGUAGCGCCUCGUGAAUUCAUCUCCGGGGGUAGAGCACUGUUUCGGCAAGGGGGUCAUCCCGACUUACCAACCCGAUGCAAACUGCGAAUACCGGAGAAUGUUAUCACGGGAGACACACGGCGGGUGCUAACGUCCGUCGUGAAGAGGGAAACAACCCAGACCGCCAGCUAAGGUCCCAAAGUCAUGGUUAAGUGGGAAACGAUGUGGGAAGGCCCAGACAGCCAGGAUGUUGGCUUAGAAGCAGCCAUCAUUUAAAGAAAGCGUAAUAGCUCACUGGUCGAGUCGGCCUGCGCGGAAGAUGUAACGGGGCUAAACCAUGCACCGAAGCUGCGGCAGCGACGCUGAUGCGUUGUUGGGUAGGGGAGCGUUCUGUAAGCCUGCGAAGGUGUGCUGUGAGGCAUGCUGGAGGUAUCAGAAGUGCGAAUGCUGACAUAAGUAACGAUAAAGCGGGUGAAAAGCCCGCUCGCCGGAAGACCAAGGGUUCCUGUCCAACGUUAAUCGGGGCAGGGUGAGUCGACCCCUAAGGCGAGGCCGAAAGGCGUAGUCGAUGGGAAACAGGUUAAUAUUCCUGUACUUGGUGUUACUGCGAAGGGGGGACGGAGAAGGCUAUGUUGGCCGGGCGACGGUUGUCCCGGUUUAAGCGUGUAGGCUGGUUUUCCAGGCAAAUCCGGAAAAUCAAGGCUGAGGCGUGAUGACGAGGCACUACGGUGCUGAAGCAACAAAUGCCCUGCUUCCAGGAAAAGCCUCUAAGCAUCAGGUAACAUCAAAUCGUACCCCAAACCGACACAGGUGGUCAGGUAGAGAAUACCAAGGCGCUUGAGAGAACUCGGGUGAAGGAACUAGGCAAAAUGGUGCCGUAACUUCGGGAGAAGGCACGCUGAUAUGUAGGUGAAGUCCCUCGCGGAUGGAGCUGAAAUCAGUCGAAGAUACCAGCUGGCUGCAACUGUUUAUUAAAAACACAGCACUGUGCAAACACGAAAGUGGACGUAUACGGUGUGACGCCUGCCCGGUGCCGGAAGGUUAAUUGAUGGGGUCAGCGCAAGCGAAGCUCUUGAUCGAAGCCCCGGUAAACGGCGGCCGUAACUAUAACGGUCCUAAGGUAGCGAAAUUCCUUGUCGGGUAAGUUCCGACCUGCACGAAUGGCGUAAUGAUGGCCAGGCUGUCUCCACCCGAGACUCAGUGAAAUUGAACUCGCUGUGAAGAUGCAGUGUACCCGCGGCAAGACGGAAAGACCCCGUGAACCUUUACUAUAGCUUGACACUGAACAUUGAGCCUUGAUGUGUAGGAUAGGUGGGAGGCUUUGAAGUGUGGACGCCAGUCUGCAUGGAGCCGACCUUGAAAUACCACCCUU